Molecule: ribosomal RNA, 484 nt
Filed under: uncultured bacterium
Lineage: Bacteria
Description: partial 16S ribosomal RNA
Rfam family: Bacterial small subunit ribosomal RNA
Source: RNAcentral
AUUGAACGCUGGCGGCAGGCCUAACACAUGCAAGUCGAGCGGAUGAAGGGAGCUUGCUCCUGGAUUCAGCGGCGGACGGGUGAGUAAUGCCUAGGAAUCUGCCUGGUAGUGGGGGAUAACGUCCGGAAACGGGCGCUAAUACCGCAUACGUCCUGAGGGAGAAAGUGGGGGAUCUUCGGACCUCACGCUAUCAGAUGAGCCUAGGCCGGAUUAGCUAGUUGGUGGGGUAAAGGCCUACCAAGGCGACGAUCCGUAACUGGUCUCAGAGGAUGAUCAGUCACACUGGAAGUGAGACAGGGUCCAUACUCCUGCGGGAGGCAGCAGUGGGGAAUAUUGGACAAUGGGCGAAAGCCUGAUCCAGCCAUGCCGCGUGUGUGAAGAAGGUCUUCGGAUUGUAAAGCACUUUAAGUUGGGAGGAAGGGCAGUAAGUUAAUACCUUGCUGUUUUGACGUUACCAACAGAAUAAGCACCGGCUAACUUCGUG